GACGAACGCUGGCGGCGUGCUUAACACAUGCAAGUCGAACGAAGAGCGACGGAAGCUUGCUUCUAUCAAUCUUAGUGGCGAACGGGUGAGUAACGCGCAAUCAACCUGCCCUUCAGAGGGGGACAACAGUUGGAAACGACUGCUAAUACCGCAUACGAUCUAACCUCGGCAUCGAGGAUAGAUGAAAGGUGGCCUCUACAUGUAAGCUAUCACUGAAGGAGGGGAUUGCGUCUGAUUAGCUAGUUGGAGGGGUAACGGCCCACCAAGGCGAUGAUCAGUAGCCGGUCUGAGGGGAUGAACGACCACAUUGGGACUGAGACACGGCCCAGACUCCUACGGGAGGCAGCAGUGGGGAAUCUUCCGCAAUGGACGAAAGUCUGACGGAGCAACGCCGCGUGAGUGAUGACGGCCUUCGGGUUGUAAAGCUCUGUUAAUCGGGACGAAAGGCCUUCUUGCGAAUAGUGAGAAGGAUUGACGGUACCGGAAUAGAAAGCCACGGCUAACUACGUG
RNAcentral lists this ribosomal RNA (510 nucleotides) under uncultured bacterium. RNAcentral's name for it is "partial 16S ribosomal RNA". It matches the Rfam family "Bacterial small subunit ribosomal RNA", at positions 28 to 507 of the family's 1533-position model. The record is from RNAcentral.